UAUGAAACUGGAGCCACAGAACAAACCUCGAGGUCUUUUCUAGUGUUUAGGAUACUUUCCAGGUUUGUCAGGAACUUAUAGAAAAGUAGUUUUACUGCCAACUUUCAGAUUUCUAAUUCUUAUUCUUUAUUUGAAAGGUCUCGUCUACAGAGGACUGGUCUUUCAAUAGCAAGUUUUCACUUCAUCGACAACAUCACGAAGGUGGUAAUAAACAAAUGCUUUAUCAGGCUGGACUUCAUUUCAAACUCCCCCAAAGCACAGAUCCAUUACGCACAUUUAAAGAUACCAUCUACCUUACUCAGGUGAUGCAGGCCCAGUGUGUCAAAACAGAAACUGAAUUCUACCGCCGUAGUAGCAGCGAGAUAGUGGAUCAGCAAGGGCACACGAUGGGGGCACUUUAUUGGCAGUUGAAUGACAUCUGGCAAGCUCCUUCCUGGGCUUCUCUUGAGUACGGAGGAAAGUGGAAAAUGCUUCAUUACUUUGCUCAGAAUUUCUUUGCUCCACUGUUGCCAGUAGGCUUUGAGAAUGAAAACACGUUCUAUAUCUAUG
This 549-nucleotide small RNA is filed under the name Pan troglodytes (chimpanzee). RNAcentral describes it as "retained intron". Lineage: Eukaryota; Metazoa; Chordata; Mammalia; Primates; Hominidae. The record is from RNAcentral.